This 466-nucleotide ribosomal RNA is filed under the name uncultured bacterium. Its description in RNAcentral is "bacterial SSU rRNA". It matches the Rfam family "Bacterial small subunit ribosomal RNA", at positions 330 to 792 of the family's 1533-position model. The record is from RNAcentral.
GCCAGACUCCUACGGGAGGCAGCAGUGAGGAAUAUUGGUCAAUGGGCGGAAGCCUGAACCAGCCAAGUCGCGUGAGGGAUUAAGGCCCUGCGGGUCGUAAACCUCUUUUGCCGGGGAGCAGAGGUCCGGACGUGUCCGGGCCGGGAGAGUACCCGGAGAAAAAGCAUCGGCUAACUCCGUGCCAGCAGCCGCGGUAAUACGGAGGAUGCGAGCGUUAUCCGGAUUUAUUGGGUUUAAAGGGUGCGUAGGUGGUUAAUUAAGUCAGCGGUGAAAGUUUGUGGCUCAACCAUAAAAUUGCCGUUGAAACUGGUUGACUUGAGUAUAUUUGAGGUAGGCGGAAUGCGUGGUGUAGCGGUGAAAUGCAUAGAUAUCACGCAGAACUCCGAUUGCGAAGGCAGCUUACUAAACUAUAACUGACACUGAAGCACGAAAGCGUGGGGAUCGAACAGGAUUAGAUACCCCGGUA